UGCAAGUCGAACGAGUUCUGAUUAUUGAAAGGUGCUUGCAUCUUGAUUUAAUUUUGAACGAGUGGCGGACGGGUGAGUAACACGUGGGUAACCUGCCCUUAAGUGGGGGAUAACAUUUGGAAACAGAUGCUAAUACCGCAUAAAUCCAAGAACCGCAUGGUUCUUGGCUGAAAGAUGGCGUAAGCUAUCGCUUUUGGAUGGACCCGCGGCGUAUUAGCUAGUUGGUGAGGUAACGGCUCACCAAGGCAAUGAUACGUAGCCGAACUGAGAGGUUGAUCGGCCACAUUGGGACUGAGACACGGCCCAAACUCCUACGGGAGGCAGCAGUAGGGAAUCUUCCACAAUGGACGCAAGUCUGAUGGAGCAACGCCGCGUGAGUGAAGAAGGCUUUCGGGUCGUAAAACUCUGUUGUUGGAGAAGAAUGGUCGGCAGAGUAACUGUUGUCGGCGUGACGGUAUCCAACCAGAAAGCCACGGCUAACUACGUGCCAGCAGCCGCGGUAAUACGUAGGUGGCAAGCGUUAUCCGGAUUUAUUGGGCGUAAAGCGAGCGCAGGCGGUUUUUUAAGUCUGAUGUGAAAGCCCUCGGCUUAACCGAGGAAGUGCAUCGGAAACUGGGAAACUUGAGUGCAGAAGAGGACAGUGGAACUCCAUGUGUAGCGGUGAAAUGCGUAGAUAUAUGGAAGAACACCAGUGGCGAAGGCGGCUGUCUGGUCUGUAACUGACGCUGAGGCUCGAAAGCAUGGGUAGCGAACAGGAUUAGAUACCCUGGUAGUCCAUGCCGUAAACGAUGAAUGCUAGGUGUUGGAGGGUUUCCGCCCUUCAGUGCCGCAGCUAACGCAUUAAGCAUUCCGCCUGGGGAGUACGACCGCAAGGUUGAAACUCAAAGGAAUUGACGGGGGCCCGCACAAGCGGUGGAGCAUGUGGUUUAAUUCGAAGCAACGCGAAGAACCUUACCAGGUCUUGACAUCUUUUGAUCACCUGAGAGAUCAGGUUUCCCCUUCGGGGGCAAAAUGACAGGUGGUGCAUGGUUGUCGUCAGCUCGUGUCGUGAGAUGUUGGGUUAAGUCCCGCAACGAGCGCAACCCUUAUGACUAGUUGCCAGCAUUUAGUUGGGCACUCUAGUAAGACUGCCGGUGACAAACCGGAGGAAGGUGGGGAUGACGUCAAAUCAUCAUGCCCCUUAUGACCUGGGCUACACACGUGCUACAAUGGAUGGUACAACGAGUUGCGAGACCGCGAGGUCAAGCUAAUCUCUUAAAGCCAUUCUCAGUUCGGACUGUAGGCUGCAACUCGCCUACACGAAGUCGGAAUCGCUAGUAAUCGCGGAUCAGCACGCCGCGGUGAAUACGUUCCCGGGCCUUGUACACACCGCCCGUCACACCAUGAGAGUUUGUAACACCCGAAGCCGGUGGCGUAACCCUUUUAGGGAGCGAGCCGUCUAAGU
RNAcentral lists this ribosomal RNA (1444 nucleotides) under Lacticaseibacillus rhamnosus. RNAcentral's name for it is "bacterial SSU rRNA". It matches the Rfam family "Bacterial small subunit ribosomal RNA". The record is from RNAcentral. Lineage: Bacteria; Bacillati; Bacillota; Bacilli; Lactobacillales; Lactobacillaceae.